Long non-coding RNA from Crotalus tigris (Tiger rattlesnake), 457 nucleotides. RefSeq lists it as uncharacterized. NCBI's taxonomy places the organism in Eukaryota, Metazoa, Chordata, Lepidosauria, Squamata, Viperidae. The transcript is spliced from 7 exons. The record is from RefSeq and is a predicted model, not a curated record.
CACAAACACGCGGCGAAGGCUGAGAAGCAAAUGGAGAAAUGGAAUGCAGCUGAAAGGCAGGACUUGGAGUAACAUGAGGAAUUGUUUAAGCAAAACUGUUGACAGUGGUUUUGAGGAUGGAAUUACUAGUUUGAGAUGUUUACUGUUUUAUGGGAUCUCUUGAACAAGAUUAGUUUAAAAACAGUGGCAGUUGAUUGAUAGAAGAAUUUUGACUUCACAAUAUAAUGGUAAUUGAUGAACUGACAUUUGGCUUUUCAAGAUCUGAGAACCUGUCCAGAAAUUAUUAAUUACAAAUAUAUUGGAAGAUAUUUUGGAAUCUAAAUUAGAUGUCAUCAGAGAUGUCAUCAGAUUAAAAAAAAAAAUAAAGACCGGACAAUAAAGAUUUUGCUUCCUGAAUACUUGGGUCUAUCUGGCAGAUUUUUGGCCACUAAUGAUGAAAAUAAACUAAUAGACAUCA